AAAAUGCGAUACGCAGUGCGAAUUGCAGAAUUCCGCGAAUCAUCAGAUUCUUGAACGCAACUGGCGCUGAAAGGCUAUCCUUUCAGCAUGUCUGUUUCAGUGUCUUAUAACUUCCCUUGAUUAUAAUGUGUCUGAGAAGGAGUAUCCGAUAUUACACUCUAACUCAUAGAGUGUAAUAUAUAUUAUACUUCGACUCUUACAUGAAAGAUGCUUGUGUGGAUCUUUGGGUCCUCUUGAAUCGGUCACCUGACUUUGGUGAUUUCAUUAGGCAAUCCAAUUAUCUGAAUACACAUUAGAACUGUAUAUCAUCUUCAAUUCUGUAUCUGAAAUUAGACAAGAACACCCGCUGAACUUAA
Molecule: unclassified non-coding RNA, 356 nt
Filed under: uncultured fungus
Lineage: Eukaryota; Fungi
Description: sequence contains ITS1
Rfam family: 5.8S ribosomal RNA (bases 1-105)
Source: RNAcentral